RNAcentral lists this long non-coding RNA (200 nucleotides) under Elaeis guineensis (African oil palm). Its description in RNAcentral is "long non-coding RNA (EGUI_LNC067370)". The record is from RNAcentral. Lineage: Eukaryota; Viridiplantae; Streptophyta; Magnoliopsida; Arecales; Arecaceae.
AGAAUAACGUAUCUGGGGUCCCCAUUUUAUAGGUGGAGGGGGCAACAGACUGAUAGCGAUGUUUGUAACCGUCUGGCAGUGGGCUGCCCAGGGUCAGGAGGAGUUUGUUGCGAGGAGUAGUGGAGUGGAAUCGUGGCUAUCACCGGGACAUGCCACAUGGAGUCUGUUGCGGGGAGUGGAGCGGCAUUCAUUGUCGCGAC